CAAUUAUUUACGUUUUUUUUUAAUCAAUAUAUGUAAAAAACAUCAUGAUUGCUUUCAGAAUCUGUUCAAUGUAAGUCAGCAGGUUAAUCCAAUGUUCACGAAAUCUGCAGGAUCUAUAAUAUGUUUCGAGGGAUGGAGCAAUAACCUUGACCACAUAAAAUACCUCUGUUAUAUAUUUUUAGUGGUUGCAGGUCAAUGAACGUGUGGAAUAUUAUAAACGACGAACCUCCAAAAUAAUGGUAAAGACUGGCCUUUAUUCUGAUCGACUAAAGAGUUGCAAACUAUGUAAACCAACUGUAAAAUCGAUCUUCCCGUCUAUCGUUUGUGCGCAAAAUAUUGUUUUUGUUCUGUAAUCAAUUUGAACGAUAUACAAAUCAAUGCUGGAACAGUUAAAAGACAGCUCGAAGAGCGCAUUAGAAACCAACACUGACAAGGGAAGUUUGGGAAAUUCAAAAAAAUAUGAAUAACUCCAUGUAUAAGUAGAAUAAGUCAUCCAUAACACAUACCUAUCUUCCGUUCGUAUCAUAAUUCACUUUUAAGUGGUGAUAUUGAAAAAAAGUUUAAAUCAAAGUUGGAUGUUAUUUUUAUGUUUACAAGAAUGUGUAAACAAUGUUUUGAAAAAGUCGAUACUUUCUGAGUUACCCCUUGCACCACCCCUUAAAUUUCAUUUUUUGAUGAUUUUAAAUUCAGGUUGAAAUGCUUUUCGGUACCCACUAUCAAUUCUUGUAAAUAUUUUAUUUUAUACAUACUUUUUAUAAAUAAAUAAAGCGUCUAUAUUAUCGAAUUUAAA
Molecule: long non-coding RNA, 790 nt
Organism: Megalopta genalis
Lineage: Eukaryota; Metazoa; Arthropoda; Insecta; Hymenoptera; Halictidae
Source: RefSeq, a predicted model, not a curated record